GCCCCCUGAGUAUCUCCAGUACGUCUGCCUUCCAAGCAGAAAGAUUAGGGCAUCCCUAAAGGCGGCA
RNAcentral lists this transfer RNA (67 nucleotides) under Paralvinella hessleri. RNAcentral describes it as "tRNA-Gly". The record is from RNAcentral. Lineage: Eukaryota; Metazoa; Annelida; Polychaeta; Terebellida; Alvinellidae.